UUGUGGCCUGGUAUUAUAAGCAGGACUCUCCUAAACUGCAAUUUGAAGUCUCACCCGUGGAGUGGACGCACUGCCCGGGACCUUGCCCAGUUGGGACUCCAGAUUGCUGUUUUCGGGACUUCCCAGGGCCGUUCGAGUCUGGAUGCCCAGCUUACAAAGCAGUGUAUCAGAAUUACCUGUGGGGUAAACGAACAAACAGCAGCAGAAGAAGCACCAACACGGCUGUUCCCAGACAACAGAUAAUGUGAAGGAGAAGGUCAGGAGAAGAAUGAACAGAUUAUCUUCAUGAGCAAGGAAAACUGACUUCCUUUUCUUGAAGGCAAGGCCUCUGCUGCUGGAGACAGGACAUCCAACAACUUCCAGCCCUGGCAUCUGUGCAGGCAGAAACACUCACUGCCAGGUCAGUAAAAGGAGCAGGUUCGUGAAGUCCUUAGAAGAGUCUCCUCCCAGAGCAGGAGGUCGUGGAGGUGAUCAGGGGAAGUUUGCUUCGGGUAAAGAAGAGGGUGCCACACAACAUAAAGAGGGGACCAGCCCCCAGGAGCAAGCAGAUCUUGU
Molecule: long non-coding RNA, 555 nt
Organism: Balaenoptera musculus (blue whale)
Lineage: Eukaryota; Metazoa; Chordata; Mammalia; Artiodactyla; Balaenopteridae
Exons: 3
Source: RefSeq, a predicted model, not a curated record